GAGAAAGGCCACCACCUAGCUAGGUGAGGUGUGCCAGCAUGGUCCUGGGGGUCUCACUGUCCCCAGCCCUGGGACGCUGGUUCCGCCAUGCAAUCCCUUUCGCUAUCUUCACGCUGUUACUUCUUUAUAUCAGUGUAUGGCUCUUCCAUGAGUGGCCCUUUGAGUUGCCAGCUCAAAGAACUCAGCAGUCCGGCCUGUGGGAACUCAAGCUCUCUUCUCCUUCUCCAGCCCUCACCUCUCUGCUUCCUGUCACCUCAGGUGUUUUACCAGGCUGCAGGCCUGGGGUGCAGUCCUGCAAUCCAGAGAGAGCGCUACCUUCCCAGAUUGGCCCAGCAUUGAGACCCCUAGUGGUCCCAGAGAAGGAAGAACCUCCCUGUCUGAGGCCUCAUGGGUUGCUGGGUCGCAUGGUGAGCCCUUUCCUGGCCUGUAUGAGCCCUGAAGGCGAUGUGGAGUUAUCUCAGUAUCUGGCAGGUUGGCGAGAACUACUUAGCUGCUCCACGGCUUCAGUUGCCAGCUCUAUCCCAAGUCUCAGUCCAGAUCUGCCCUCCACACAGCCAACGCAGCAUGUCCGGCCUGAAUUCUACCUUCCUCCACCAGAAGUGCAUUUCCUUCUGCGUUCUGCUCCAACCUAAAGCCUCUCACCAUCAGGCACUCCUCCACAAGUUUAUGUGAAAGAAAGAAACCAUUUCCUAGACUAACUCCCAAAUUGUACCUCAAAUCGACUUUCUUCUGAACUCCAGAACGCUAUGUAUCAAUGGGAUAUUUGGCAUUUCCAUUUGGAUGUCAACUAGGCAUAGCACACCUGACAGGUUCAGACUGAGUUUCUAAUGCUUUGUUCUAAAAUAUUACCUUCAUUGUCACAUUAGCUCAGUAAGGAAUUCUAUUUUCCAGGUCCUCAGAUCCAAAAUCUUGUUAAACUGACUCUCCCCAUACCAACAAUGAAUCUAUGGAAAUCUGACUACUCCCCACAUUUCCCAAGUUUCAUUGUCUAAAUGAGUCUUAUGUAUCUUCUGGAUUAUCUUUUCCUUUCUUACAAUUGCACUGUCACUGAACUACAAAAAACGGUGAUUCUUUUGUU
Molecule: long non-coding RNA, 1078 nt
Filed under: Rattus norvegicus (Norway rat)
Lineage: Eukaryota; Metazoa; Chordata; Mammalia; Rodentia; Muridae
Description: long non-coding RNA NONRATT004492
Source: RNAcentral